UGGGUUGUGGCUCAGUGGUAGAGUACUCACCUAGCACAUGAGAGGCCCUGAGUUUGAUUCUCGGCGCCACAU
RNAcentral lists this transfer RNA (72 nucleotides) under Ictidomys tridecemlineatus (thirteen-lined ground squirrel). Its description in RNAcentral is "Spermophilus tridecemlineatus (thirteen-lined ground squirrel) tRNA". It matches the Rfam family "tRNA". Rfam says of the family: Transfer RNA (tRNA) molecules are approximately 80 nucleotides in length. Their secondary structure includes four short double-helical elements and three loops (D, anti-codon, and T loops). Lineage: Eukaryota; Metazoa; Chordata; Mammalia; Rodentia; Sciuridae. The record is from Rfam by way of RNAcentral.